AGAGUUUGAUCAUGGCUCAGAGUGAACGCUGGCGGCAGGCCUAAUACAUGCAAGUCGAACGGCAGUACAGCAGAGCUUGCUCUGUGGGUGGCGAGUGGCGGACGGGUGAGGAAUACAUGGGAAUCUGCCCAGUCGUGGGGAUAACGUAGGGAAACUUACGCUAAUACCGCAUGCGCCCUUCGGGGGAAAGCCGGGGACCUUCGGGCCUGGCGCGAUUGGAUGAGCCCAUGUCGGAUUAGCUAGUUGGCGGGGUAAUGGCCCACCAAGGCGACGAUCCGUAGCUGGUCUGAGAGGAUGAUCAGCCACACUGGAACUGAGACACGGUCCAGACUCCUACGGGAGGCAGCAGUAGGGAAUAUUGGACAAUGGGCGCAAGCCUGAUCCAGCCAUGCCGCGUGAGUGAAGAAGGCCCUCGGGUUGUAAAGCUCUUUUGUCCGGAAAGAAAAGCGCCGGGUUAAUACCCUGGUGUCCUGACGGUACCGGAAGAAUAAGCACCGACUAACUUCGUG
This 509-nucleotide ribosomal RNA is filed under the name uncultured bacterium. Its description in RNAcentral is "bacterial SSU rRNA". It matches the Rfam family "Bacterial small subunit ribosomal RNA", at positions 8 to 507 of the family's 1533-position model. The record is from RNAcentral.